GAUGAACGCUGGCGGCGUGCCUAAUACAUGCAAGUCGAGCGAACAGACGAGGAGCUUGCUCCUUUGACGUUAGCGGCGGACGGGUGAGUAACACGUGGAUAACCUACCUAUAAGACUGGGAUAACUUCGGGAAACCGGAGCUAAUACCGGAUAACAUUUUGAACCGCAUGGUUCAACAGUGAAAGACGGUUUUGCUGUCACUUAUAGAUGGAUCCGCGCCGCAUUAGCUAGUUGGUAAGGUAACGGCUUACCAAGGCAACGAUGCUUAGCCGACCUGAGAGGGUGAUCGGCCACACUGGAACUGAGACACGGUCCAGACUCCUACGGGAGGCAGCAGUAGGGAAUCUUCCGCAAUGGGCGAAAGCCUGACGGAGCAACGCCGCGUGAGUGAAGAAGGUCUUCGGAUCGUAAAACUCUGUUAUUAGGGAAGAACAAAUGUGUAAGUAACUAUGCACGUCUUGACGGUACCUAAUCAGAAAGCCACGGCUAACUACGUG
Molecule: ribosomal RNA, 497 nt
Filed under: uncultured bacterium
Lineage: Bacteria
Description: partial 16S ribosomal RNA
Rfam family: Bacterial small subunit ribosomal RNA
Source: RNAcentral